Molecule: ribosomal RNA, 467 nt
Filed under: uncultured bacterium
Lineage: Bacteria
Description: partial 16S ribosomal RNA
Rfam family: Bacterial small subunit ribosomal RNA
Source: RNAcentral
GAUGAACGCUGGCGGCGUGCUUAACACAUGCAAGUCGAACGAUGAAGCCCAGCUUGCUGGGUGGAUUAGUGGCGAACGGGUGAGUAACACGUGAGUAACCUGCCCUUAACUCUGGGAUAAGCCUGGGAAACUGGGUCUAAUACCGGAUAGGAGCGUCCACCGCAUGGUGGGUGUUGGAAAGAUUUAUCGGUUUUGGAUGGACUCGCGGCCUAUCAGCUUGUUGGUGAGGUAAUGGCUCACCAAGGCGACGACGGGUAGCCGGCCUGAGAGGGUGACCGGCCACACUGGGACUGAGACACGGCCCAGACUCCUACGGGAGGCAGCAGUGGGGAAGAUUGCACAAUGGGCGCAAGCCUGAUGCAGCGACGCCGCGUGAGGGAUGACGGCCUUCGGGUUGUAAACCUCUUUCAGUAGGGAAGAAGCGAAAGUGACGGUACCUGCAGAAGAAGCACCGGCUAACUACGUGC